RNAcentral lists this microRNA precursor (59 nucleotides) under Octopus vulgaris (common octopus). Its description in RNAcentral is "Ovu-Mir-12559-P2_pre stem-loop". RNAcentral also lists the same sequence under 1 other name. Lineage: Eukaryota; Metazoa; Mollusca; Cephalopoda; Octopoda; Octopodidae. The record is from RNAcentral.
UGCUGGAAGACGGGUAAUGGGUGUACAAUACUGAAGCACCCAAUCGGUCCUCCCCCAUC